CCUAGAAUAAAUCUAAGGUGCAACCUGCCCAAUGAUCUUUAAUUAACUAAAUACAACCAUUUAUAAUAAGAUUUAAAGGACGCAGUAACCUGACUGUGAUAAUGUAGCAUAAUCACUCGCCAUUUAAUUGAUGGAUAGUAUGAAUGGUUUAACGAAUUCUUCACUGUCUUAAAAAAAGAAGUCAUGAAAUUAAAAUAAUAGUUAAGAUGCUAUUUAAAAUUGUAAGACGAAAAGACCCUAUAGAGCUUAACUAUAUUCUUUUUAAAAAACAAGAAAUAAAAAUUUCUAUAAAUAAAAAGAAAGGUAGUUUAGUUGGGGCGACUAUCUUCUAAAAAUAACGAAGACAAGCAAAAUUAAUAUUAAAUUUAUUGUAUAAUUCAUUAAUUUAACAAUUACAAAAGUAGGCUAUAAUGACCCGUUACAAUAAAAUGGAAUUGGUAACGAUUAAUAAAUAAAAGCUACCUUAGGGAUAACAGGAUAAUUUUAUUCUAGAGAUCCUAUCGAAAAUAAAGUUUGUCACCUCUAUGUUGAAUUAAGAUAUCCUGGUAAUGCAAAAGUUACCAAAGGUGGGUCUGUUCGACCCUUAAAAU
This 590-nucleotide ribosomal RNA is filed under the name Errinopora disticha. RNAcentral describes it as "partial 16S ribosomal RNA". It matches the Rfam family "Bacterial large subunit ribosomal RNA", at positions 1833 to 2594 of the family's 2925-position model. The record is from RNAcentral. Lineage: Eukaryota; Metazoa; Cnidaria; Hydrozoa; Anthoathecata; Stylasteridae.